AUGUUCUCCGUUAGCAACGGUGAUCUUUACCCCUUCUACGGCAAUAACCAUGCACCACCAUCGGCGUUCACCGUCUCCACGUCGGAUCUGUGGCAUCGUCGACUUGGGCACCCCGGCGCUCACUCCCUGUCUACCAUAGCCAACGAUUUCCUUAGCUCAUGUAAUAAAAGUGCACACAUUCCAUGUAACGCUUGUCAACUAGGUCGCCAAGCGCGUCUCCCUUUUUCCCCCUCUUUUAGCAAAACCUACGCCCCCUUUGAUUUAAUACAUUGUGACUUGUGGACAUCUUCAGUUGUAAGCUUCUCCGGUUUUCAAUAUUAUCUUGUUGUGCUCGAUGAUUUCACACACUACUCUUGGACGUUUCCCUUGCGCAACAAAUCGGACACCUCCACCACACUACAAUGCUUUUUCACAUUUAUUCACACCCAAUACAAUGUCAUUAUCAAAGCCAUGCAAUGCGAUAAUGGAGGGGGGUUCAUCAACUCAUCCCUCCGCUCCUUCUCUGCCAAUGGCAUAGUGUAUCGCUUCUCCUGCCCACACACCUCUCCCCAAAACGGCAAAGCGGAGCGUCUCAUUCGAACAACAAACGACGUCGUUCGCUCCCUCCUCAUCCAAGCCAACCUUACUCCCCCUUUUUGGGUCGAAGCUCUACAUACUGCCACCUACCUUCUCAAUCGCCACCCCUCUCGAGCCAUUGCUGACCAAACACCAUACUUUCUUCUCCACGGCGCUCAUCCAUCGUAUGACCAUUUACGCGUGUUUGGAUGCCUGUGUUUUCCCAACACAUCCGCAACCCUGCCUCAUAAACUUUCCCCUCGCUCCACUCGGUGCAUUUUCUUACGGUACCCACUAGAACACAAGGGGUACGGGUGCUAUGACUUAUCCACUCGACGCGUUAUUGUCUCUCGGCAUGUCAUUUUUGACGAAAGUUCAUUUCCUUAUACACCGCCCAUAGCACCAGCUACACAAUCUAACCCCGCACCGGAUCCACUCGCCUGCACCCAAUCUCUUGGAUCUGCCGCCCCCGCC
RNAcentral lists this ribosomal RNA (1029 nucleotides) under Triticum aestivum (bread wheat). Its description in RNAcentral is "partial small subunit ribosomal RNA". Lineage: Eukaryota; Viridiplantae; Streptophyta; Magnoliopsida; Poales; Poaceae. The record is from RNAcentral.